UACGACAGGGGCUAGCGUUGUUCGGAAUUACUGGGCGUAAAGCGCACGUAGGCGGCCUUGUAAGAUGGGGGUGAAAUCCCCGGGCUCAACCCGGGAACUGCCUUCAUGACUGCAAAGCUAGAGGAUGCGAGAGGUUAGCGGAAUUCCGAGUGUAGAGGUGAAAUUCGUAGAGAUUCGGAAGAACACCAGUGGCGAAGGCGGCUAACUGGCGCAUUGCUGACGGUGAGGUGCGAAAGAGUGGGGAGCAAACAGG
This 253-nucleotide ribosomal RNA is filed under the name uncultured bacterium. RNAcentral describes it as "partial 16S ribosomal RNA". It matches the Rfam family "Bacterial small subunit ribosomal RNA", at positions 524 to 776 of the family's 1533-position model. The record is from RNAcentral.